This is a non-coding RNA of Pelobates cultripes (western spadefoot toad), 539 nucleotides long. The record is from the annotation of a GenBank genome assembly. NCBI's taxonomy places the organism in Eukaryota, Metazoa, Chordata, Amphibia, Anura, Pelobatidae.
UAGUAUCCUAAACUGAUGGUAUGUUGGAGACCUGCGUGUUCCAAUCUGCAAAUCUUCUUAACAUAUGUAUUGACUGUUUGAACUACUUCUCAAUAAAAACAGAUUUAAAAAAAAAAAAAAAAAGACAACUCUGUUCCGCAGAGUAGCUGUUGACAUUAUAGUUGCGCAGGAACUUUGUUGACUCUAGAGAACCUCGGGCAAAUCGCACAUCCCCGUGGCGGCGACUUUGCAUGCGGAUGCCAUCCAUAAUAACUUUCAAUGCCAGUUUCUGCGCCUACCAUGGUGACAACGGGUAACUGGGAAUCAGGGUUCCAUUCCGUACAGGGACCCUGAGAAACGGCUACCACAUGCAAGGAAGGCAGCAGGCACGCAACUGACCCACUCUCGACGCGGGAAGGUAGUGACGACAAAUAAUACAGGACUCUUUUGAGGUCCUGUAAUUGUAAUGAGUCCACUUGAAAUCCUUUAACUCUGAUCAAUUGGAGGGAAGUCUGGUGCAGAGCCAUUGACCCGUGCGUGCUGCAGCUGAAACUCCACUA